Molecule: ribosomal RNA, 514 nt
Filed under: uncultured bacterium
Lineage: Bacteria
Description: partial 16S ribosomal RNA
Rfam family: Bacterial small subunit ribosomal RNA
Source: RNAcentral
GAUGAACGCUGGCGGCGUGCCUAAUACGUGCAAGUCGAGCGAACUGAUUAGAAGCUUGCUUCUAUGACGUUAGCGGCGGACGGGUGAGUAACACGUGGGCAACCUGCCUGUAGGACUGGGAUAACUUCGGGAAACCGAAGCUAAUACCGGAUAGGAUCUUCUCCUCCAUGGGAGAUGAUUGAAAGAUGGUUUCGGCUAUCCUUUACAGUUGGGCCCGGGGUGCAUUAGCUAGUGGGUGAGGUAACGGCUAACCAAGGCAACGAGGCAUAGCCGACCUGAGAGGGUGAUCGGCCACACUGGGACGGAGACACGGCCCAGACUCCUACGGGAGGCAGCAGUAGGGAAUCUUCCGCAAUGGACGAAAGUCUGACUGAGCAACGCCGCGUGAGUGAUGAAGGCUUUCGGGUCGUAAAACUCUGUUGUUAGGGAAGAACAAGUACAAGAGUAACUGCUUGUACCUUGACGGUACCUAACCAGAAAGCCACGGCUAACUACGUGCCAGCCGCCGCCGUAA